AUUGAACGCUGGCGGCAGGCCUAACACAUGCAAGUCGAACGAGUGGCGGACGGGUGAGUAAUGUCUGGGAAACUGCCUGAUGGAGGGGGAUAACUACUGGAAAAGGUAGCUAAUACCGCAUACCAUCGGAUUGGCCCAGAUGGGAUUAGCUAGUAGGUGGGGUAAAGGCUCACCUAGGCGACGAUCCCUAGCUGGUCUGAGAGGCUGACCAGCGACACUGGAACUGGGACGCGGGCCAGACUCCCACGGGAGGCAGCAGUGGGGACAAUUGCACAAUGGGCGCAAGCCUGAUGAAGCCAUGCCGCGUGUAUGAAGAAGGCCUUCGGGUUGUAAAGGACUUUCAGCGGGGAGGCGUUACCCGCAGAAGAAGCACCGGCUAACUCCGUGCCAGCAGCCGCGGUAAUAC
This 406-nucleotide ribosomal RNA is filed under the name uncultured bacterium. Its description in RNAcentral is "partial 16S ribosomal RNA". It matches the Rfam family "Bacterial small subunit ribosomal RNA", at positions 29 to 526 of the family's 1533-position model. The record is from RNAcentral.